ACGAACGCUGGCGGCGUGCUUAACACAUGCACGUCGAACGGAAAGGCCCUGCUUUUGUGGGGUGCUCGAGUGGCGAACGGGUGAGUAACACGUGAGUAACCUGCCCUUGACUUUGGGAUAACUUCAGGAAACUGGGGCUAAUACCGGAUAGGAGCUCCUGCUGCAUGGUGGGGGUUGGAAAGUUUCGGCGGUUGGGGAUGGACUCGCGGCUUAUCAGCUUGUUGGUGGGGUAGUGGCUUACCAAGGCUUUGACGGGUAGCCGGCCUGAGAGGGUGACCGGCCACAUUGGGACUGAGAUACGGCCCAGACUCCUACGGGAGGCAGCAGUGGGGAAUAUUGCACAAUGGGCGGAGGCCUGAUGCAGCAACGCCGCGUGCGGGAUGACGGCCUUCGGGUUGUAAACCGCUUUCGCCUGUGACGAAGCGUGAGUGACGGUAAUGUGUAAAGAAGCACCGGCUAACUACGUG
Molecule: ribosomal RNA, 467 nt
Filed under: uncultured bacterium
Lineage: Bacteria
Description: partial 16S ribosomal RNA
Rfam family: Bacterial small subunit ribosomal RNA
Source: RNAcentral